This 1033-nucleotide ribosomal RNA is filed under the name Lepidion ensiferum (Patagonian codling). RNAcentral describes it as "partial 16S ribosomal RNA". It matches the Rfam family "Bacterial large subunit ribosomal RNA", at positions 850 to 2519 of the family's 2925-position model. The record is from RNAcentral. Lineage: Eukaryota; Metazoa; Chordata; Actinopteri; Gadiformes; Moridae.
UGGUUGCCUGGGAAAUGAAUAGAAGUUCAGCCCUUUAAGUUUCCCCCGUCCCCUAAGUAAUUACUAAAAAUGAUAAAGGAAACUAAAGGAGUUAAUCAAAAGGGGUACAGCCCUUCUGAUAGAAGAAACAACUUUAAUAGGUGACUCAAGAUCAUAUUAUUCAAGGACUUCAAUUUAAGUGGGCCUAAAAGCAGCCAUCUCAAUAGAAAGCGUUAAAGCUCAAAUUAACCCUUGUCCUUAUAUUCUGAUAUAACAUCUCCCUCCCUACCCACUUACCAGGCUGUCUUAUGCUCCCAUAAGAACAAUUAUGCUAAAAUGAGUAAUAAGAAGAAUUCAAUUCUUCUCCUAGCACAUGUGUAAGUUGGAACGGACCCCCCACCAACAAUUAACCGACCCCAAACCCAGAGGGACUUAAAUUAUAUAAACAAGAAAAACACUUAUUAUAAAUCGUUAACCCCACACAGGUGUGCCCCAAGGAAAGACUAAAAGAGAAGGAAGGAACUCGGCAAACACAAGCCUCGCCUGUUUACCAAAAACAUCACCUCUUGUUACACAAAAUAUAAGAGGCCCCGCCUGCCCUGUGACAAUAAGUUUAACGGCCGCGGUAUUUUAACCGUGCGAAGGUAGCGUAAUCACUUGUCUUUUAAAUGGAGACCAGUAUGAAUGGCAUCACGAGGGCUUAACUGUCUCCCCUCUCCAGUCAAUGAAAUUGACCUUCCCGUGCAGAGGCGGGAAUAUUAAUAUAAGACGAGAAGACCCUGUGGAGCUUUAGACCUAAAAUAAACCACGUCUAGUAUACUGUAAUACCAGCAAAAGCCUAGUGGUUACAUAUUGAAGUGUCUUUGGUUGGGGCGACCGCGGGGUAAAACACAACCCCCUUGUGGACUGGGGAUAUUAUCCCUAAUACUCAGAGCCUCUACUCCAAGUAACAGAAAUUCUGACUUUCUGAUCCGGUAUAACCGAUCAACGAACCGAGUUACCCCAGGGAUAACAGCGCAAUCCCCUCUCAGAGCCCUUAUCGACGAGGGGGUUU